GAUGAACGCUAGCGGCAGGCCUAACACAUGCAAGUCGAGGGGUAGAAGGAGCUUGCUCCUUUGAGACCGGCGCACGGGUGCGUAACGCGUAUGCAAUCUACCUUGUACAGGGGAAUAGCCCAGAGAAAUUUGGAUUAAUGCCCCAUAGUAUAUAACCUUCGCAUGUUGGUUAUAUUAAAGUUCCAACGGUACAAGAUGGGCAUGCGUCCCAUUAGUUAGUUGGUAAGGUAACGGCUUACCAAGACGAUGAUGGGUAGGGGUCCUGAGAGGGAGAUCCCCCACACUGGUACUGAGACACGGACCAGACUCCUACGGGAGGCAGCAGUGAGGAAUAUUGGUCAAUGGUCGCAAGACUGAACCAGCCAUGCCGCGUGCAGGAAGACGGUCCUAUGGAUUGUAAACUGCUUUUAUACAGGAAGAAACCCUCCCACGUGUGGGAGCUUGACGGUACUGUAGGAAUAAGGAUCGGCUAACUCCGUG
RNAcentral lists this ribosomal RNA (480 nucleotides) under uncultured bacterium. RNAcentral's name for it is "partial 16S ribosomal RNA". It matches the Rfam family "Bacterial small subunit ribosomal RNA", at positions 28 to 507 of the family's 1533-position model. The record is from RNAcentral.